CAUUUUAGCAGCCGCAAGGCAGCAACCGCCCGCCGCGAGGUGGGGUCGGCACCCUCUGUCUACUUGUACCUCUUGUUGUUUCCUCGGCAGGCUUGCCUGCCGCAAGGAACCCCUUAAACUCUUGCAUCUAAAGUAUUACAAAACUCUGAUAACUACUUAAUUAUCA
RNAcentral lists this unclassified non-coding RNA (166 nucleotides) under uncultured fungus. RNAcentral describes it as "sequence contains ITS1, 5.8S rRNA gene". Lineage: Eukaryota; Fungi. RNAcentral also lists the same sequence under 1 other name. The record is from RNAcentral.